AUUGAACGCUGGCGGCAUGCCUUACACAUGCAAGUCGAACGGCAGCACGGGGGCGAACCCUGGUGGCGAGUGGCGAACGGGUGAGUAAUGCAUCGGAACGUGCCCCGUAGCGGGGGAGUAACCAGUCGAAAGACUGGCUAAUACCGCAUACGCUCCACGGAGGAAAGCAGGGGAUCGCAAGACCUUGCACUAUGGGAGCGGCCGAUGCCCGAUUAGCUAGUUGGUGAGGUAAAGGCUCACCAAGGCGACGAUCGGUAGCUGGUUUGAGAGAACGACCAGCCACACUGGGACUGAGACACGGCCCAGACUCCUACGGGAGGCAGCAGUGGGGAAUUUUGGACAAUGGCGCAAGCCUGAUCCAGCCAUGCCGCGGUGCGGGAUGAAGGCCUCGGUUGU
Molecule: ribosomal RNA, 396 nt
Filed under: uncultured bacterium
Lineage: Bacteria
Description: bacterial SSU rRNA
Rfam family: Bacterial small subunit ribosomal RNA
Source: RNAcentral